UAUGGAUAGUACCUCUGUUUCCAACC
RNAcentral lists this non-coding RNA (26 nucleotides) under Mus musculus (house mouse). The record is from RNAcentral. Lineage: Eukaryota; Metazoa; Chordata; Mammalia; Rodentia; Muridae.